Molecule: ribosomal RNA, 827 nt
Filed under: Brevibacterium sp.
Lineage: Bacteria; Bacillati; Actinomycetota; Actinomycetes; Micrococcales; Brevibacteriaceae
Description: bacterial SSU rRNA
Rfam family: Bacterial small subunit ribosomal RNA
Source: RNAcentral
AGAGGGAGCUAUAAUGCAGUCGAGCGGACUUCUUAAAGCUUGCUUUUAUAGAAGUCAGCGGCGGACGGGUGAGUAACACGUGGGCAACCUGCCUGUAAGACUGGGAUAACUUCGGGAAACCGGAGCUAAUACCGGAUAAUAUAAGGAACCUCCUGGUUCUUUAUUGAAAGAUGGUUUCGGCUAUCACUUACAGAUGGGCCCGCGGCGCAUUAGCUAGUUGGUGAGGUAACGGCUCACCAAGGCAACGAUGCGUAGCCGACCUGAGAGGGUGAUCGGCCACACUGGGACUGAGACACGGCCCAGACUCCUACGGGAGGCAGCAGUAGGGAAUCUUCCACAAUGGACGAAAGUCUGAUGGAGCAACGCCGCGUGAGCGAUGAAGGCCUUCGGGUCGUAAAGCUCUGUUGUUAGGGAAGAACAAGUGCGAGAGUAACUGCUCGCACCUUGACGGUACCUAACCAGAAAGCCACGGCUAACUACGUGCCAGCAGCCGCGGUAAUACGUAGGUGGCAAGCGUUGUCCGGAAUUAUUGGGCGUAAAGCGCGCGCAGGUGGUCCUUUAAGUCUGAUGUGAAAGCCCACGGCUCAACCGUGGAGGGUCAUUGGAAACUGGGGGACUUGAGUGCAGAAGAGGAAAGUGGAAUUCCAAGUGUAGCGGUGAAAUGCGUAGAGAUUUGGAGGAACACCAGUGGCGAAGGCGACUUUCUGGUCUGUAACUGACACUGAGGCGCGAAAGCGUGGGGAGCAAACAGGAUUAGAUACCCUGGUAGUCCACGCCGUAAACGAUGAGUGCUAAGUGUUAGAGGGUUUCCGCCCUUUAGUGCUGCA